CGUCCCACGGGACGACGCCGGCCGACGAGGUUUCGUCCGCCGGCGUGUUUUGC
Molecule: small RNA, 53 nt
Filed under: Stakelama sediminis
Lineage: Bacteria; Pseudomonadati; Pseudomonadota; Alphaproteobacteria; Sphingomonadales; Sphingomonadaceae
Description: Sphingomonas sp. CJ70 ffh sRNA
Rfam family: ffh sRNA
Source: Rfam by way of RNAcentral